Non-coding RNA from Ascodesmis nigricans, 95 nucleotides. The record is from the annotation of a GenBank genome assembly. NCBI's taxonomy places the organism in Eukaryota, Fungi, Ascomycota, Pezizomycetes, Pezizales, Ascodesmidaceae.
GUCAAGAUGGCCGAGUGGUUAAGGCGUUCGCCUCGAAUAAUCUUCGACGGUAGCGAAUGGGUUCGCCCGCGCAGGUUCGAAUCCUGUUCUUGACG